CUACGGGCGGCACCAGUGGGGAAUAUUGCGCAAUGGGCGAAAGCCUGACGCAGCCAUGCCGCGUGUGUGAAGAAGGCCUUCGGGUUGUAAAGCACUUUCAAUUGGGAGGAAGGGUUUAACGUUAAUAGCGUUGAAUCUUGACGUUACCUUUAGAAGAAGCACCGGCUAACUCCGUGCCAGCAGCCGCGGUAAUACGGAGGGUGCGAGCGUUAAUCGGAAUUACUGGGCGUAAAGCGCGCGUAGGCGGUUUGUUAAGUCAGAUGUGAAAUCCCCGGGCUCAACCUGGGAACUGCACCUGAUACUGGCCGGCUUGAGUGCGGGAGAGGGGGGUAGAAUUCCAGGUGUAGCGGUGAAAUGCGUAGAUAUAUGGAGGAAGACCGGUGGCGAAGGCGGCCUCCUGGCUCGACACUGACGCUGAGGUGCGAAAGCGUGGGUAGCAAACAGGAUUAGAUACCCUCGUAGUC
This 464-nucleotide ribosomal RNA is filed under the name uncultured bacterium. Its description in RNAcentral is "partial 16S ribosomal RNA". It matches the Rfam family "Bacterial small subunit ribosomal RNA", at positions 339 to 795 of the family's 1533-position model. The record is from RNAcentral.